Amphiprion ocellaris (clown anemonefish) is the source of this 1042-nucleotide long non-coding RNA. The record is from Ensembl. NCBI's taxonomy places the organism in Eukaryota, Metazoa, Chordata, Actinopteri, Pomacentridae.
UUACAAAUAGCUUUACCUUCUCAUAAGUGAAGAUACUUUAACUUUCCUUUUUUUAAGAUCUCAGAAAAGUUAUGCCCAUCAAAAGAACAAACGUUAAGCAUUAGAACAAACUAAUGCUAAUAAAGUCAUUAUCUUAUACUAAAUAUUGCAUAUAUUAAUGGUUUGCCACACAAGAUCAGUCGAAUAUAAAUCAUUGUGAUAAUACAGAUAAAGUUAGAAACUCAUUUGACACAUCCAUGACCAAUGAUUUGCUGUCACAGUUGAAGUUUAUUAUUCUGCCAUAUUAGACACAUUUUUAAAAUUUUAUUUACUCUUGUUAGUCUUAUUAACAUAAUAGCAUCCUUUGCAGAGAUUAACUUUAUCCUCAUCCUGAGUGUGGCUGGAGGCUGCUGUUUGAUGAUUGUCAUUGGUGUUGGUGUAGCCGUGUACGUUUGCCACUGCAAAGAGAGACAAACUGGCAGUGACAUAAAUGACCUCACUGUGUAUGCCGAUAUCGCUGAUGUUGCGAUUGACAAUAGGACCAUGAAGCCUUGUUCAGUGUAUGAAACCAUUGACAACAGAACCAACACAGCUCCGCCUGGGCCCCAAACUGUGUACGACAAGAUCCAGCUCAGCCGUGUGAGGAAGGCGUCUGUGUCGCCCUACCAAGACGUCAUCUAGAUGUUGUGGAGCUUUUUUCAAGUGUUGCUCAGGGCAAGGCAACGAUGUGCAGCACAAGAAAAUUCAAGGAUAAUAUGAUGGAGAAAAUGUGAAAGAGCUUCUAAAGGCAGAAAGUUGUGUUACAUUUUUGCAUAGAUUUCUGUUGCAUCAUAGCUUUUUGAGGCUGUAAGCUAUACAAUACCAUUUUAUAUACGUUGUUGUACAUUCUGUAAAUACAGAGGUUAUAUUUUUAAAUGUUAUGUUUGUACUCUUGCAUUUACUGUCAACUAUGCAUUAUUACCCAGCUGGGUCGACAGCUAAUAAAAGCCGGAUUUUAAAAUGCCACUCUGUGCUUUGCCAUGGAUUUUUCAUACAGUUGAAUUGCAGUAAAAGUGUAGCUCCA